RNAcentral lists this ribosomal RNA (497 nucleotides) under uncultured bacterium. RNAcentral's name for it is "partial 16S ribosomal RNA". It matches the Rfam family "Bacterial small subunit ribosomal RNA", at positions 28 to 507 of the family's 1533-position model. The record is from RNAcentral.
GAUGAACGCUGGCGGCGUGCCUAAUACAUGCAAGUCGAGCGAACGGACGAGAAGCUUGCUUCUCUGAUGUUAGCGGCGGACGGGUGAGUAACACGUGGAUAACCUACCUAUAAGACUGGGAUAACUUCGGGAAACCGGAGCUAAUACCGGAUAAUAUUUUGAACCGCAUGGUUCAAAAGUGAAAGACGGUCUUGCUGUCACUUAUAGAUGGAUCCGCGCUGCAUUAGCUAGUUGGUAGGGUAAAGGCUUACCAAGGCAACGAUGCAUAGCCGACCUCAGAGGGUCAUCGGCCACACUGGAACUGAGACACGGUCCCGACUCCUACGGGAGGCAGCAGUAGGGAAUCUUCCGCGAUGGGCGAAAGCCUGACGGUGCACCGCCGCGUGAGUGAUGAAGGUCUUCGGAUCCUAAAACUCUGUUAUUAGGGAAGAACAUAUGUGUAAGUAACUGUGCACAUCUUGACGGUACCUAAUCAGAAAGCCACGGCUAACUACGUG